CAGUCGCCGCGGUAAUACGUAGGGUGCAAGCGUUAAUCGGAAUUACUGGGCGUAAAGCGUGCGCAGGCGGUUUGUUAAGACAGAUGUGAAAUCCCCGGGCUCAACCUGGGAACUGCAUUUGUGACUGGCAAGCUAGAGUGUGGCAGAGGGGGGUGGAAUUCCGCGUGUAGCAGUGAAAUGCGUAGAUAUGCGGAGGAACACCGAUGGCGAAGGCAGCCCCCUGGGCCAACACUGACGCUCAUGCACGAAAGCGUGGGGAGCAAACAGGAUUAGAGACCCGCGUAGUCCCUGUCUCUUAUAC
Molecule: ribosomal RNA, 301 nt
Filed under: uncultured bacterium
Lineage: Bacteria
Description: partial 16S ribosomal RNA
Rfam family: Bacterial small subunit ribosomal RNA
Source: RNAcentral